AUACGGAGGAUGCGAGCGUUAUCCGGAUUUAUUGGGUUUAAAGGGUGCGCAGGCGGCCAUUUAAGUCAGCGGUUAAAUCGUGGGGCUCAACCCCAUUCUGCCGUUGAUACUGGGUGGCUUGAUUGCGGUCGAGGUUGGCGGAAUUCGUUGUGUAGCGGUGAAAUGCAUAGAUAUGACGAAGAACACCGAUUGCGUAGGCAGCUGACCAGACCGCAAAUGACGCUCAUGCACGAAGGUGCGGGGAUCGAACAGGAUUAGAUACCCUGGUAGUCCGCACAGUAAACGAUGAAUACUUGUUUUCGGCGAUAUAAUGUCGGAGGCAAAGCGAAAGCGAUAAGUAUUCCACCUGGGGAGUACGCCGGCAACGGUGAAACUCAAAGGAAUUGACGGGG
This 392-nucleotide ribosomal RNA is filed under the name uncultured bacterium. Its description in RNAcentral is "partial 16S ribosomal RNA". It matches the Rfam family "Bacterial small subunit ribosomal RNA", at positions 523 to 918 of the family's 1533-position model. The record is from RNAcentral.